GGACCAGUGGCAGAACAUCUGCCUGGCAUGCAGAAGGUCACAGGUUUAAUCCCUGGCAUCUCCA
Podarcis lilfordi (Lilford's wall lizard) is the source of this 64-nucleotide non-coding RNA. The record is from the annotation of a GenBank genome assembly. NCBI's taxonomy places the organism in Eukaryota, Metazoa, Chordata, Lepidosauria, Squamata, Lacertidae.